CUUUGGCAAGCAAUGCUAAGGAAACAGAAACGGAAGCUCAGCAGGAGAACGAAGUAGCGAAGGCGACGCUGGAAGAUGUGAUACGUCAUGACUGCCCGAACGCUGAUCAGCUGGGUUACUGCGCAUCACCACCGCGCUAUCCAACGCUACAGAUUCAAGAAGUAUACAAACGUUGCAUCCGGCUGCUGCGUGCGUUGUAUGUGCCACUGCCUGAAGAGGAUAAUACCAAGUCUAUUACCCGUGCGAACAGACACGCAUGGUCGUGGCGCGACGCAGGUCGCGAGUCAUGCUCGGGUAACGAGCGCCGGGAGGCUCCGGGCUACGUGCGCGACGCCUCGUCCGGCCGGUGGCUGGUGGUGGUGCAGACGGAGAGCAUGCCGCAGCAGG
Molecule: long non-coding RNA, 387 nt
Organism: Schistocerca serialis cubense
Lineage: Eukaryota; Metazoa; Arthropoda; Insecta; Orthoptera; Acrididae
Exons: 3
Source: RefSeq, a predicted model, not a curated record